Molecule: long non-coding RNA, 2035 nt
Organism: Andrographis paniculata
Lineage: Eukaryota; Viridiplantae; Streptophyta; Magnoliopsida; Lamiales; Acanthaceae
Exons: 8
Source: RefSeq, a predicted model, not a curated record
UCCGGUCUAGUCGGGUUUGUAAGAAGUAUAAAAUCUUCCGUUGAUAACUGGGGUUACGAUAUGUUUUAUAAUUUUUUGGAACCGCUCACCCAAAACUCUCUCUGGACAACAUGAGAAGCCCGAGGAACAACAAAUUACGGCGAAUCGUUGACGGGGAAUCAUCUGAGCUGUGGAAGAGGAUGCCGGCAGAAGAAAAGGAAGAGCACGAAUUCUUACUGACGAUCCUGGUCGGGCAAGUCCAGUGAGUCUGGCGCUUUGGAUUUAGUAGAGGUUUUGGUGGUUGCUGGAACGUCUUCUGAGGUGAUACAAAUCCUGGUCACACAAGUCCAGUUGAGUAGGUAUUUUCCUCAUAUUUACAGUCAACCUUGGACACACUUCUUACAGGCAACUGUCAAGGUUCCUGGUGCUCAGUCAACAACUGAGCAUCUUGCAGUUAGGGUUGGAGUGGUUUUGUGUGGUCAACAAUCUCCGAAGUUAUGUGGGGUCUUUUUGAAGCUUUAAAGACUCACUACACCAAAAUUUAUUUGCUUUGAUUUGAGGUUGGUGGUUCUGAUGGUUUAGUUGCCCAGGAAACUUUUAAGAGAUUAGCAAUGAGAUUUUUGUCACCUACACAAAUCAAGGUGUUUAUGAUUUGCUGAGAUGAACAAAAGAUGAAAUUAGAAGAACUGAACUAUGUUCUUGGUUUCAUGCUGGACCUGCAACGCCAUAUUUACUAAAAACCAAGACAGCAUUUAAAGGCUAUUGAAGCCUGGAUAGAAAAGAACAUAAUAUUGUGUGCACUGCUCAGUAGUGUUCACCAUCUGCUGUACAUGCAUGGCUGCAACCAGGUAAGUGAUCUAUCUGUUUGAUUAAGUGUGACAAUAUUGUAGGCCGUAUGUUGUGGUAUCUAGGUUUCGAUUCUUACUUUGUUGCUAUGAAGAUCUGAAUUAAGAGUAUUUAUAUGUGCUAUCAUGCUAUGAAGCCAGCCCGAGUGUGGAGAUCCUUCAUUUACUCAGCUUUUUAGCUGAGUUAUAUUAUGGUGGUCAUUUUAAACAUUCAUCUUUCUGGUGUAUGUUUUACUCCCACUAUGUUGGUGCAGAGGAGAAAGUGUGUUUUGGAGGGUUCCAGCAAUCACAUGGCAAUAUUAUUUCAUCACUUUCCCUUCUAUGGACCUUUAUGGAUGGAUUGUAUGUCCAUCUCUCGUUUGACUUGUGCGUUUAACGAACGUACGGCUAUCCCAAAGAGGCUCAACUCGACUGGCCGAAGUUGGACCAACUAAAUAGCCUUUGACUCCUAUUUUACAGUUUGGCCGGUAAUGUUUUCGGUUGACUUAAGCAGGCCCAUAAGGCUGUCAGCUCUUUUGCCGACAGAUAACGCUGUCGGCUGAUUUCAGUAGACCCAUAAUGCCGUUGACUUUUUUGCUGGGUCUUAUCUGCAAAAGAGUCAAUAGCAUAAUUGCUCUAAACAUUCUGACGGCUUGCAAUGCAGUAAGCCUGUUUUCCACGCCUUCUCCACCUGAGGCGGAUUUUGCAAAGUCAUUUAACCGAGCCCAUUUUCUACCCUUCUUUCUUCUCUUUCCCCCUCUCAAAAUUCCUCCCCAAAAAUGAUUUUUAGAAAGAUGAUUCUGUUUGUGUAUUUGUCGCCGUGGACGCCAACCCAACCCUCGGUGCCGUUGCCGUCGGAUCAACGUUGGGGCCAACAAUCGUUUUUGUCGCCAGCUCUCUUGUCGUCGUCGUCGGUUGAAAGAAAAGUCAGUAUGCUUUUACACUCCAAGAAUGCAGACUUAUAUUCUAAUCUUGAAAUAUGAUUACGCCGCAAUUGUUUUUGGUGUUCCUCAUUUCUUUAAUUUGAUUUGUCGAUGUUUUUUGUGGGCAAUUUAUUGCUGAGCAUUAUGUCGUAUGCUCGAACUUUUCUGUUGAUGCGAUGUUGGUUUGAGGAAUUCGUGGAUUGAGCUUGCUUUUGAAUGAAAUGGUUUGAGGGUUUAUGCAUGAUGGUUUUGGGAAUUAAGAAAUUACAAAUUGUCCAAUGAAAUAAAACUGGGAUAGAUCGGUUGCUA